AUUGAACGCUGGCGGCAUGCCUUACACAUGCAAGUCGAACGGCAGCACGGGGGCAACCCUGGUGGCGAGUGGCGAACGGGUGAGUAAUGCAUCGGAACGUGUCCUCUUGUGGGGGAUAACCAGUCGAAAGAUUGGCUAAUACCGCAUGAGAUCGAGAGAUGAAAGCGGGGGACCCGAGGGCAACUUCGGGCCUCGCGCGAGAGGAGCGGCCGAUGCCGGANAGUCUAGUUGGUGGGUAAAGCCUACCAAGGCGACGAUCCGUAGCUGGUCUGAGAGGAC
Molecule: ribosomal RNA, 279 nt
Filed under: uncultured bacterium
Lineage: Bacteria
Description: partial 16S ribosomal RNA
Rfam family: Bacterial small subunit ribosomal RNA
Source: RNAcentral